AUGAGCUUCCAAGAGGAGAGGGUGGUGGAUUUUAGAUAUCUGCAGUCCAACAUUACAUAUCAGCAACAAUGCAGAAGUGAACUAGUGGCUGAUAUGAAGGCAGAGAUGGCAAAGAAAGAUGCAGAGUCUGAGAAGCUUAAUCAGAAGUAUGAACUGCUGGUGAACCUGACAAGAGCACAAGCAACAGUCAUCCAGAACUUGAAGUUCAAGAAUAUGACAGACAAGCAAUUGCUUGGUGAAGCUAAGAUUAACUUGGAGUUGAAGAAUGCAGAGCUCACAAAGUCCGAGGAGAAGCUCACCCAAGGUAAGAUAGAGUUGAAGUUUUAG
RNAcentral lists this ribosomal RNA (327 nucleotides) under Triticum aestivum (bread wheat). RNAcentral describes it as "partial small subunit ribosomal RNA". Lineage: Eukaryota; Viridiplantae; Streptophyta; Magnoliopsida; Poales; Poaceae. The record is from RNAcentral.